CAAAAACGGAGAUAAACGGGCCAAAAACCCUUUAAUACAAACCCAAAAUGAAACAUCAGCAAGGUGAAGACACAAUGAGUAUAUUUAUAAAUGGGUGGAGAAGGCCAUAAUUACAUAUUUAUAAAUGGGUGGGGAAGACCAUAAUUAACACAAAAUGUCUCUCCUGCAUGCAGAAUUAGCGAUAUGCAAAUCUCCCUGAAUAUGCAAAUUACCAGUGCCCUCUGUUGCUACCAACAGAGGGCACUACACAAGCUCCAUAGCCAAAUCCACCUAGUUGGUAGCAAUCCUCAGCAGUACAGGAGAGCAGGCAAUACAUCCCAGGGGCCAUAGUCACAUGGCAGGAGGCUGGCAAUCAGUCUUCACCAAUGCCCAGUGGCGAGGCUGGUUCCGCCACACGCUCCUACCACCCAAACAAGCAAAAGCGGUGGAGAUCGAAGGGUUGUUCCGCAUACCCAAACCGGUUAAGGCCCCGGCAGAUGCACCACGAGACCAGAUCAUCCGGUCUCAAGAGGAGCAAAGAUAAAACCGCAGUCCUCAACGCAGUGCGCAAUCACUCUCCAUACUCCUUCGAGAGAAUGGCGCUGUCCUUCUACACAGAUCUAUCGGGGAACACACUCACAUGGCACCGCUCUCUCCAGCCCUUUACGGCCCUCCUGAGGGCAAACAACAUCCGUAUAGAUGGAGAGCGCCACACACACUGCAGGUACAAUAUGGCGAUGCUGCACAUCCAGUACAUGACAUACAGGGAGCAAGGGGACUUCUGCCGGUGUUGGGGCCUCUCUGGGGACUCAAUGGCUAACGGAGGAUCGAGCGCUACCACCAAUGCCUACUACCCGUCCAUUUGUUCCACGGGAGCCGGGGAGGGAACCCCAGACAACAAACACCACCUGAGGCAACUCAGACAGCUGGCAGAGAAACCCUGCCCUUCCCAACCUUUUUCUCACUGGCCUAUUACCAUCACCACGGACUACCUACUCUCCUAAACUCGAUAAGUAAACUUUGUUAUUGACUUAACCUACCCUUUUCACCCCUGCCUCCUUUUACCCGAGAGAAGCGCAGCAGCCGACACCAGACAUGGAAAAUGGGACUAAAGACUCUCACACCACGCAGCUUCAUAGGGCUGUACAAACCGGCAGGACUGUCUCAAACUUGAAUGAGCUAUAGAAUUUUAUUUAUUUUGCCUAUUUUAAGUUUCUCCUCCCAUUUGUCUCUUCUCUAUACACCCAGUUUGACACAUAGGGAAGCCCCCAAUGGACAUCCCACACUAAACAUAACCGACAGACCAAGCAGACCACAACCCCUCAUACUCCCCCCGCACACUCAGGAGAACAUGAGAGUACAGAACAUUUACCCACAUAAUGCCUGGGGCUAACCAGACAGUCCCAAGCGUUUGAGACACACAUACUCUCCUCGGCAGACCAAACAUGUUUAAUGUUUUAAAAAGUUCAGCAUAUAUUAGGUAGAAGCACCAGCACUCCACCAUAGAUCACACCUAGCCACCGACAGCAUCCUCCAGACUCAAUCUAGAUAUCUUACUAUCUUAUUGCUAGCACGAAUGACAAGCAUUCAUUCCAUGCACAAACUCUAUUUGUUAACUGUUAU
This is a non-coding RNA of Pelobates cultripes (western spadefoot toad), 1602 nucleotides long. The record is from the annotation of a GenBank genome assembly. Lineage: Eukaryota; Metazoa; Chordata; Amphibia; Anura; Pelobatidae.